AUGAUUCGGUCCAGCGAAAGAUCGGUUCGGUCAUCGGGUGAGACCGAACAACACCGGUCUACAAGCAAGAAAGCAACCGCAGAAAUCCAGCAAUCGCUGCUUGGUUGCUUGGUUCAUGAGUUGCAGCCUUGCUUUUUUGCCUUUAGGGCGAGGGUGUGGGAAGCAGUGGAGGUUGGCGAGAAGGAAGAUUGGCCAGGGGGAGAUGGCGCCGGCUGCCGGAACACUACCACUGGCUGCUGGAGUGCGAGAGUAAGGGCGACUGGUGUUAUGGUGGAGGUCGCCGUGGAGGGAGCGAGAGGAGAAGGCGCUGGAUGCGGGCUGCUAGACAACCGCCGCCGCUAA
This 342-nucleotide ribosomal RNA is filed under the name Triticum aestivum (bread wheat). RNAcentral describes it as "partial small subunit ribosomal RNA". The record is from RNAcentral. Lineage: Eukaryota; Viridiplantae; Streptophyta; Magnoliopsida; Poales; Poaceae.